GCGUGGGUAACCUGGCCCAUACAGGGGGAUAACACUUAGAAAUAGGUGCUAAUACCGCAUAACAACAGAAAGCGCAUGCUUUUUGUUUGAAAACCAAGGUGGUAUGGGAUGGACCCGCGUCUGAUUAGCUGGUUGGCGGGGUAAAGGCCCACCAAGGCGACGAUCAGUAGCCGGCCUGAGAGGGUGGACGGCCACAUUGGGACUGAGACACGGCCCAAACUCCUACGGGAGGCAGCAGUGGGGAAUAUUGCACAAUGGGGGAAACCCUGAUGCAGCGACGCCGCGUGAGUGAAGAAGUAAUUCGUUAUGUAAAGCUCUAUCAGCAGGGAAGAAAAUGACGGUACCUGAGUAAGAAGCCCCGGCUAACUACGUGCCAGCAGCCGCGGUAAUACGUAGGGGGCAAGCGUUAUCCGGAUUUACUGGGUGUAAAGGGAGCGUAGACGGCAGUGCAAGUCUGGAGUGAAAGGCGGGGGCUCAACCCCCGGACUGCUCUGGAAACUGUACGGCUGGAGUGCAGGAGAGGUAAGUGGAAUUCCUAGUGUAGCGGUGAAAUGCGUAGAUAUUAGGAGGAACACCAGUGGCGAAGGCGGCUUACUGGACUGUAACUGACGUUGAGGCUCGAAAGCGUGGGGAGCAAACAGGAUUAGAUACCCUGGUAGUCCACGCCGUAAACGAUGAUCACUAGGUGU
Molecule: ribosomal RNA, 689 nt
Filed under: uncultured bacterium
Lineage: Bacteria
Description: bacterial SSU rRNA
Rfam family: Bacterial small subunit ribosomal RNA
Source: RNAcentral